Molecule: ribosomal RNA, 520 nt
Filed under: uncultured Glomus
Lineage: Eukaryota; Fungi; Glomeromycota; Glomeromycetes; Glomerales; Glomeraceae
Description: SSU rRNA
Rfam family: Eukaryotic small subunit ribosomal RNA
Source: RNAcentral
AGCAGCCGCGGUAAUUCCAGCUCCAAUAGCGUAUAUUAAAGUUGUUGCAGUUAAAAAGCUCGUAGUUGAAUUUCGGGAUCAGUGGGUCGGUCGUGCCACUGGUAUGUACUGGCCCUACUGGUUCCUCCUUCUUGAAGAACUGUAAUGCCAUUAAUUUGGUGUUGCAGGGAAACAGGACUGUUACUUUGAAAAAAUUAGGGUGUUUAAAGCAGGCAAUCGCCUGAAUACAUUAGCAUGGAAUAAUGAAAUAGGACGUUCGAUCCUAUUUUGUUGGUUUCUAGGAUUGACGUAAUGAUUAAUAGGGAUAGUUGGGGGCAUUAGUAUUCAAUUGUCAGAGGUGAAAUUCUUGGAUUUAUUGAAGACUUAACUACUGCGAAAGCAUUUGCCAAGGAUGUUUUCAUUAAUCAAGAACGUAAAGUUAGGGAUCGAAGACGAUCAGAUACGUCGUAGUCUUAACCAUAAACUNUAGACCGACUAGGGAUCGGAUGAUGUUUAAUUUUUANGUACUUCAUUCGGCGCC